GCCGGAGUGGCGGAAUUGGUAGACGCAAGGGACUUAAAAUCCCUCGCUUGUUAAACGGGCGUGCCGGUUCAAAUCCGGCCUCCGGCA
RNAcentral lists this transfer RNA (87 nucleotides) under candidate division Zixibacteria bacterium RBG_16_48_11. RNAcentral describes it as "tRNA-Leu". It matches the Rfam family "tRNA". Rfam says of the family: Transfer RNA (tRNA) molecules are approximately 80 nucleotides in length. Their secondary structure includes four short double-helical elements and three loops (D, anti-codon, and T loops). Further hydrogen bonds mediate the characteristic L-shaped molecular structure. tRNAs have two regions of fundamental functional importance: the anti-codon, which is responsible for specific mRNA codon recognition, and the 3' end, to which the tRNAs corresponding amino acid is attached (by aminoacyl-tRNA synthetases). tRNAs cope with the degeneracy of the genetic code in two manners: having more than one tRNA (with a specific anti-codon) for a particular amino acid; and 'wobble' base-pairing, i.e. permitting non-standard base-pairing at the 3rd anti-codon position. The record is from RNAcentral. Lineage: Bacteria; Pseudomonadati; Candidatus Zixiibacteriota.